UACCAUGGUGGUAACGGGUAACGGGGUGUUAGGGCACGACACCGGAGAGGGAGCCUGAGAAACGGCUACCACAUCCAAGGAUGGCAGCAGGCGCGCAAAUUACCCAAUCCCGACACGGGGAGGUAGUGACAAUAAAUAACAAUACGGGGUUCUUUAGGAUCUCGUAAUUGGAAUGAGUACAAUUUAAAUCUCUUAACGAGGAACAAUUGGGGGGCAAGUCUGGUGCCAGCAGCCGCGGUAAUUCCAGCUCCAAUAGCGUAUAUUAAAGUUGUUGCAGUUAAAAAGCUCGUAGUUGAAUUUCGGGGUCAGUAGGUCGGUCGUGCCACUGGUAUGAACUGGUUUUACUGACUCCUCCCUCUUGAAGAACUGUAAUGCCAUUAAUUUGGUGUUGCAGGGAAUCAGGACUGUUACUUUGAAAAAAUUAGAGUGUUUAAAGCAGGCUUUAGCCUGAAUACAUUAGCAUGGAAUAAUGAAAUAGGACGUUUGAUCCUAUUUUGUUGGUUUCUAGGAUUGACGUAAUGAUUAAUAGGGAUAGUUGGGGGCAUUAGUAUUCAAUUGUCAGAGGUGAAAUUCUUGGAUUUAUUGAAGACUAACUACUGCGAAAGCAUUUGCCAAGGAUGUUUUCAUUAAUCAAGAACGAAAGUUAGGGGAUCGAAGACGAUCAGAUACCGUCGUAGUCUUAACCAUAAACUAUGCCGACUAGGGAUCGGAUGAUGUUAAUUUUUUAAUGACUCAUUCGGCGCCUUACGGGAAACCAAAGUGUUU
RNAcentral lists this ribosomal RNA (765 nucleotides) under uncultured Glomus. RNAcentral's name for it is "SSU rRNA". It matches the Rfam family "Eukaryotic small subunit ribosomal RNA", at positions 342 to 1108 of the family's 1831-position model. Lineage: Eukaryota; Fungi; Glomeromycota; Glomeromycetes; Glomerales; Glomeraceae. The record is from RNAcentral.